Molecule: long non-coding RNA, 149 nt
Organism: Haliotis rubra (blacklip abalone)
Lineage: Eukaryota; Metazoa; Mollusca; Gastropoda; Lepetellida; Haliotidae
Exons: 4
Source: RefSeq, a predicted model, not a curated record
UAUUUUUUAUAAGUAAUUAUUGUAUCUCCCUUUGCGACUGGUAUGUUAAGACAUGAAGUCGUCUCCCUUCGUUACUAGCGACGCAUCUAAAAAUGAUUACCAGCCUUUUGAAUAAACUGAGUGACUGACUGAGUUUAGUUUUAUGCCGC